This 297-nucleotide unclassified non-coding RNA is filed under the name Hevea brasiliensis (rubber tree). Lineage: Eukaryota; Viridiplantae; Streptophyta; Magnoliopsida; Malpighiales; Euphorbiaceae. The record is from RNAcentral.
GAGCUGCAGAUCACAAGAAACAGAGAAAAAAGUGAGGUUAGAGGGAGCUUUGUUCAUGAUUCAGGAGAGGAGUCGUGUUGAUGAGAAGCGAGGCAGAUGGAUAGAGAGAGCUGGGCCUGCUGGCACUGCGACCGCUUCAGGGCAGUCCCGCCGCUAGCACACAGGCUGCGAACCGCCUCCGAUUCCUCCGGACAAGCCACCGAAAUCAUGCACUGGGCCAAGGCCCGAUUCAAGUGACGACAGGACACUUUGCGUCCGAGACCCGGCGAAACACGCCGGUGGCAUUCGCACAGCGCC